Molecule: long non-coding RNA, 372 nt
Organism: Mytilus trossulus (common blue mussel)
Lineage: Eukaryota; Metazoa; Mollusca; Bivalvia; Mytilida; Mytilidae
Exons: 3
Source: RefSeq, a predicted model, not a curated record
UUUUUACAGAAACAAUUUUUCCUUGUAGAUGUUACAGAUACAUUCAUACGAAUGAUGUUGAAGAAACAAAGAGAAAAGGAACUUGGACUGUACCAUUUUGUUUGCAGCUUUUAAGAUAAAGGAGAUAAAUUUCCUCUGUUGACAAAAAAAUGGUUGAGGAGUCGGAAAGUUUGACUGAAGAUUAAGGAUAUCAAAUGAAGAUUAUUAUUGAAAAAAGAGCACUUUGAAGUACUAGGAGAAUUUGAAAACAUCUUGGUGAAAUAGUUUGACUGAUUAUGACAGAACAUCAAAAGAAAUGACGAAAAAUUACACAUCUUAUCAAAAUAGUACUUCUAGAAACUAAAAGCUACUUGCAAUUUUCACUGGUUUUGA